This is a non-coding RNA of Gossypium hirsutum (cotton), 108 nucleotides long. The record is from Rfam. NCBI's taxonomy places the organism in Eukaryota, Viridiplantae, Streptophyta, Magnoliopsida, Malvales, Malvaceae.
AUCCCAUGAUGAGGACACUUACAAAGUAACUCCUUGAAUUGCUUUCAAACCCUCAUACAAAGACUCAUCAUCCAAUUAUUGGAAAGUUGUGAUCUCAUUCCUCAACUU